UACGAAGGGGGCUAGCGUUGCUCGGAAUCACUGGGCGUAAAGAGCGCGCAGGCGGUCGAUCAAGUCGAGUGUGAAAGCCCCCGGCUCAACUGGGGAGGGUCAUUCGAUACUGAUCGACUCGAAGGCAGGAGAGGGUAGUGGAAUUCCCGGUGUAGUGGUGAAAUGCGUAGAUAUCGGGAGGAACACCAGUGGCGAAGGCGACUACCUGGCCUGUUCUUGACGCUGAGGCGCGAAAGCUAGGGGAGCAAACGGG
RNAcentral lists this ribosomal RNA (253 nucleotides) under uncultured bacterium. RNAcentral's name for it is "partial 16S ribosomal RNA". It matches the Rfam family "Bacterial small subunit ribosomal RNA", at positions 524 to 776 of the family's 1533-position model. The record is from RNAcentral.